RNAcentral lists this long non-coding RNA (328 nucleotides) under Theobroma cacao (cacao). RNAcentral describes it as "long non-coding RNA (TCAC_LNC003345)". Lineage: Eukaryota; Viridiplantae; Streptophyta; Magnoliopsida; Malvales; Malvaceae. The record is from RNAcentral.
CAAGCUCUUGGGUGGAGAGUCAUACUUCGCCACAGAUCAUACCUAUCAAAGCACUCAUAGGGUGGAAGAUCACGAAGCAUCCAGCCCUAUAAGCUACGGAGGCAACAACGGCUUAUGUGCACUCCCACUCACACAUAGCCGGGUCAGCAACGGCUUAUGUGCACUCCUACUCGCACAUAGCCGGGUCAGCAACGGCUUAUGUGCACUCCUACUCGCACAUAGCCGGGUUCAAAUCAACAUGUAAAGAAGCAUCCAAUGCAUAUCAUGCAUUUUAUCAUAUUGUGAUAACACAUAAACCAUUGUAUAGCACAUUUUCACAAUAUAAAAU